Populus trichocarpa (black cottonwood) is the source of this 1612-nucleotide long non-coding RNA. RefSeq lists it as uncharacterized. Lineage: Eukaryota; Viridiplantae; Streptophyta; Magnoliopsida; Malpighiales; Salicaceae. The transcript is spliced from 4 exons. The record is from RefSeq and is a predicted model, not a curated record.
AACACAGAGAAGAGGAAGGGAAAAAAUAGAAGGCAAGAAAGAUACCCAUUAAGAGAGGAAGAAUCAACAAUCACCUUGAAAAUGUCCUUGCCUUUCUUCAAAUCCCUACUGUUAGUGUUUGUGGUGUCUUUCUUUUCCACACUGUCCUGAACUUUCUCUCAUUGAGAUUCACGUAACUUUUUCUAGAGCUGAAACAUUUUUAUAAGAAUUGUUGGUCAGUCUAGAAGAGCAUUACUCAAGGUUAUCGUUCUUGGCGAUAGCGGGGUGGGAAAGACUUCUUUGAUGAAUCAGUAUCCAUUACAAGGUGGUAAUUAUAAUUUUUCAAUUUCUUUUUCAAUGAUUAUGAGAAACUCCAUUUAGUUUUCUAUUUUUCGUUCUUGUCAUAUCUACCUUAAGCACAUGUCUGGCAAGAAAAACACCAUAGUAGUGCACCUUGGUAUGCAAUGCCAUGUUUUGCUCACAAGGGAUGAGUUGUAAUGUAGUGCCAGGGACAAAAAUACUGAAACAUUACUGGUUUUGCUAAGCAAACCGUGGUGCUUUCCAUUUGUGUUCUUUCUGCCUGCAGACGCAUUUUGUUGGGCUGUUAACAGCUUUUCAGAUAUGUAUAUAACAAGUAUAGUCAGCAGUCUAAAGCUACAAUUGGUGCUGAUUUUGUCACGAAGGAACUGCAGAUUGAUGACAAGCUGGUCACUUUGCAAAUAUGGAACACAGCAGGGCAGGAGAGGUUUCAGAGUUUAGGCCCGGCAUUUUACAGAGGGGCAGAUUGCUGUGUUCUUGAAUAUGAUGUAAAUGUACAGAAAUCAUUUGAAACACUUAACAAUUGGCAUGAAGAAUUUCUCAAACAGGUUUCAGAGAAAAAAGCCAGAGAAUGGUGUGCUUCCAUGGGAGGUAUACCAUGCUUUGAGACCUCAGCAAAAGAGGAUUGCAACAUUGAUGAAGCUUUUCUUUGUGAUGCAAAAACUGCACUAGAAGAAGAACAUGAACACGAACAUGACAUGGAAGUACACCCGUGGACUCGUUAACUGUUAACAGCAAUUCCUGUUACCCUUUCUGUUAACUACUAAUUACAUCAACUUUAACAGAGAAGUUUUUGUGCAGACUUUUUCAAGACAUGUGAAUGAUCACAGAAUCCUUUACUGCAGUGCCUCACCUAUAAACAAACUUCCAUAAAUUUGAGAAAUCUUCAAUAAUGUGCGUUCCAAAAGAUUCAAUCAAACUCGCGGUUUGUGAGUCACAAUCGCAUCUAUAGAUCACGUUCUUGAACUUUUUAUAUUUGAUUAAUUGGGGCAAAUCCAAUAGUUUUCUUCCCUCAGGAUUUGUCACCUUCCAUCUCCUUCAUUGCUAAAUUUCAGCUAGUGAUGAUAAUUUGCAUUAUAACUUUGCAGUUACUUCCAGGGUAUAUCAGAAACUGUUUCAGAAGCUGAGCAAAGAGGAGGUUGUGCAUGUUGAAGUUGGCUGCCAAAGGAUUAAACCUCUGAAAAUUCAACUUUCUGAUUUGUUCGAUUCUCUUAUAAUUUCUUUGUUAAGAUGCUCUUCGUUAGAGAUUGAGAGGUGUUUUCAAUGCUUGUAUCUUAUUUGUGUGUGAAAAAAAUAAAAGAUAAAUAAAACAAAA